UACGUAGGGGGCAAGCGUUGUCCGGAAUCAUUGGGCGUAAAGAGCGUGUAGGCGGCUCGAUAAGUCUGCUGUGAAAGUCCAGGGCUCAACCCUGGAAGGCCGGUGGAAACUGUCGGGCUAGAGUCCGGAAGAGGCGAGUGGAAUUCCCGGUGUAGCGGUGAAAUGCGCAGAUAUCGGGAGGAACACCAAUGGCGAAGGCAGCUCGCUGGGACGGUACUGACGCUGAGGCGCGAAAGCGUGGGGAGCGAACAGG
This 253-nucleotide ribosomal RNA is filed under the name uncultured bacterium. Its description in RNAcentral is "partial 16S ribosomal RNA". It matches the Rfam family "Bacterial small subunit ribosomal RNA", at positions 524 to 776 of the family's 1533-position model. The record is from RNAcentral.